RNAcentral lists this non-coding RNA (215 nucleotides) under Evansella cellulosilytica. RNAcentral's name for it is "Bacillus cellulosilyticus T-box sequence". It matches the Rfam family "T-box leader". Rfam says of the family: Uncharged tRNA acts as the effector for transcription antitermination of genes in the T-box leader family. T-boxes are found upstream of many aminoacyl-tRNA synthetase genes and some amino acid biosynthetic genes usually in Gram-positive bacteria. The anticodon of a specific tRNA base pairs to a specifier sequence within the T-box motif, and the NCCA acceptor tail of the tRNA base pairs to a conserved bulge in the T-box antiterminator hairpin. The record is from RNAcentral. Lineage: Bacteria; Bacillati; Bacillota; Bacilli; Caryophanales; Bacillaceae.
AAGAAAUCGUUGAUAAGGAAAAGUAGAGAUUUGUUUUCCUUUUUAGAGAGAGCUGUCAUGGCUGAGAGCAGCUUAAGGAGAAGAAUUUCGAAAUGCACCUUUGAGACCCUUGCAGAAUAUUUAGUAUGCUAGGGCGUUUAGGAAACGUUACAUUCCUAGAGUGGAGCAAACAUAUUUGCUCAAGCAGGGUGGAACCACGUGAAAGCGUCUCUGUG